CUUCAACGAUCCCAGCCACAGUGGACGGUCCGCCGCACGACCCCGACCGUACGUCGCCAGCAACGCCUGCGCCUC
RNAcentral lists this antisense RNA (75 nucleotides) under Nocardia sp. NRRL S-836. RNAcentral describes it as "ASpks TB sRNA". It matches the Rfam family "ASpks TB sRNA". Lineage: Bacteria; Bacillati; Actinomycetota; Actinomycetes; Mycobacteriales; Nocardiaceae. The record is from Rfam by way of RNAcentral.